Molecule: ribosomal RNA, 466 nt
Filed under: uncultured bacterium
Lineage: Bacteria
Description: partial 16S ribosomal RNA
Rfam family: Bacterial small subunit ribosomal RNA
Source: RNAcentral
GACGAACGCUGGCGGCGCGCCUAACACAUGCAAGUCGAACGAGCGAGAGAGAGCUUGCUUUCUUGAGCGAGUGGCGAACGGGUGAGUAACGCGUGAGGAACCUGCCUCAAAGAGGGGGACAACAGUUGGAAACGACUGCUAAUACCGCAUAAGCCCACGGUGCCGCAUGGCACAGAGGGAAAAGGAGCAAUCCGCUUUGAGAUGGCCUCGCGUCCGAUUAGCUAGUUGGUGAGGUAACGGCCCACCAAGGCGACGAUCGGUAGCCGGACUGAGAGGUUGAACGGCCACAGUGGGACUGAGACACGGCCCAGACUCCUACGGGAGGCAGCAGUGGGGAAUAUUGCACAAUGGGGGAAACACUGAUGCAGCGACGCCGCGUGGAGGAAGAAGGUCUUCGGAUUGUAAACCCCUGUUGUUGGGGAAGAUAAUGACGGUACCAAACAAGGAAGUGACGGCUAACUACGUG